CUACAUUGCUCCAGACAUGUCUUGGGGACAAGGGCCCCAAGUCAGGGUUGCAGGCUUUUUAAAACGUACACUGUCUGCCCUCUUGUGGACAGCAAGGGUUGUGAAAGCCACAGCUAUUGCCGCAGGAUGACCAGUAAUCAAGUGUUGCCUCAGGAGGGGGCCAAACUGCUGGAGCAGAAACCCAUGCUAUGAUUGUGACACAAGACUACAAGUGCAAGUGUGAGGCAAUACAGAGCAAUGUGAUUCUAAAAAUACAGUGGAGAUCUAACAGCUGUAACAAGGACACAAGCUGUAGAUGCUGGCCAUGUCCUGUGUUCCUGAAACAUGAGGACAGUGGAAAGGUCAGAUGACACAGAGGAAAGACAUUAUGUAUCUAGGACCUUGUGUACAACAAUCCAACAUCUUUCUCUAAAACUGUAUAUCUGUAUUUACAUACUGUAUUAAUAUACUUUCUCUAUCUGACUUUCUGUGUACUGUAAUCCCACCCCUCCAUUUGUGUACUAUACACGCAGAUUCUCAGCUACUCUUACUCAUUCCCUCUGGCUGCUAUUUCACUGCAGGGCUGAACGGUUCUGAGCAAAGAGGGUAAGUGAUGGCUUUUUAACAUGGACAUGGUUUAGCACAGAACACUUACUUACUUACCACGGGUUGGUCCUGCUUUUCUCAGUAAGGUUAUUUAACUGUACUUGAGGCCACAGGACCAUUCAAUCGAAAGACUUAAAGACUGAGGGAUCUAAAUAUUGGCUACCCAGGCCAUGAAAAUGCCACAGUUAUCAUGCUAAUGCCACCUUAGUGAUGUGGGACAAACCUGGUCAAUGUUGUACUAACAUGCCUGGAAAACAAGUGCACAGUUAG
This 855-nucleotide long non-coding RNA is filed under the name Astyanax mexicanus (Mexican tetra). RNAcentral's name for it is "lncRNA (ENSAMXG00005012761.1)". Lineage: Eukaryota; Metazoa; Chordata; Actinopteri; Characiformes; Acestrorhamphidae. The record is from RNAcentral.